This is an RNA transcript of Dioscorea cayenensis subsp. rotundata (Guinea yam), 1583 nucleotides long. It is a transcript of the gene named MLO-like protein 1, with no coding region annotated. The transcript is spliced from 15 exons. The record is from RefSeq and is a predicted model, not a curated record. Lineage: Eukaryota; Viridiplantae; Streptophyta; Magnoliopsida; Dioscoreales; Dioscoreaceae.
GUGUGUGAGAGAGAGAGAGAGAGAGAAGCCAUGGGAGGAGGAGAAGAGGAAGCGUUGAAGCUCGAGUAUACGCCCACAUGGAUCGUUGCUGCAGUGUGCUCCAUCAUCGUCUUCAUAUCCCUUGUCGUUGAGCGCCUUCUUCACCGUCUCGGCAAGCUUUUGAAGAAAAGGAAGCAGAAACCGCUCUUUGAGGCACUCCUCAAGGUCAAGGAAGAGUUGAUGUUGCUGGGGUUUAUUUCGCUUCUGCUUACGGUUUUCCAGGGGCUUAUGCAGAGGAUUUGCAUUCCUGAAGGCUGGACCUUGCAUAUGCUCCCUUGUAAGAAGGAAGGGGAUCUCUCUUCGGAUGCCCAUGGUGGCGCCCGGCGGUUACUGUCGUCGGGUGGUGAGGGCUCGAGUCAUUGCACGAGCAAGGGAAAAGUACCAUUGUUAUCUAUUGAAGCAUUGCAUCAGCUACAUAUCUUCAUCUUUGUUCUUGCAAUUACUCAUGUGCUUUUCAGUCUCUUCACUAUGCUUUUAGGGGGAGCAAAGAUUCGUCAGUGGAAACACUGGGAGGAUUCAAUCCAGAAAGAUGUUACACAAAGUGCUCCGACAAAAGUUACCCAUGUGAACCAAUUUGAAUUUAUAAGGGACCGUUUCAAGGGCCUUGGGAAAGAUUCAGUGUUAAUAAGUUGGGUGCAUGCUUUUUUGAAGCAAUUCUAUGGAUCUGUGACCAAAUCAGACUAUACCACAAUGAGGCUAGGCUUUAUUAUGACACAUUGCAGAGGGAACCCACAAUUUGAUUUUUACAAGUAUAUGAUGCGUGCCCUUGAAGCUGAUUUCAAAAGAGUUGUUGGUAUUAGUUGGUACCUGUGGGUUUUCGUUGUCAUCUUCUUGUUGCUCAAUAUCGAUGGCUGGCAUACAUACUUCUGGAUAGCGUUCAUCCCUUUAAUUCUUCUACUUGCCGUGGGCACGAAGUUGGAACAUGUUAUUACUCAAUUGGCUCAUGAAGUUGCUGAAAAACAUUCGGCCAUUGAGGGUGAAUUAGUUGUCAAUCCUUCUGAUGAACACUUUUGGUUUCAUCGACCACGAAUUGUCCUCUACUUGCUUCAUUUUAUCCUCUUCCAGAAUGCCUUCGAAAUUGCGUUCUUCUUCUGGAUAUUGACCACAUAUGGCUUCGAUUCCUGCAUCAUGGGACAAGUUGGAUUUAUCGUCCCCAGGCUUGUAAUCGGGGUAAUAAUCCAGCUCCUCUGCAGCUACAGCUCUCUACCACUAUAUGCAAUUGUCACCCAGAUGGGAAGCUCAUUCAAGAAAGCGAUAUUUGACGAGCAUGUGCAAGAGGGACUCGUAGGCUGGGCACAGAAGAUCAAGAAAAGGAAAGCAAAGGGUGGAUCGAGCAAACCGGAGUCGACAGAAGGGUCCGCCGCGGGGAUUCAGUUGACCAUUCGCAACCUGCAAGAACAACCUCUGAUGGAGGAGACAAAAAUUAACAAUGCAGUGUGAUUAAUGAGUGAAUUAUAGGAGCAAAAAAUGUAGGUGGUAGUGUUAGUUCUCUAAUGCUAUUAUGAUAUAUAUAUAUAUAUAUAAUACACCGAGCCAAAUCUUUU